AUCUUAAUUUUCAAUGAAAUAAUUUUCAAAGAGAAUAUAUAGGGCUAGCUUCUGAAAAAGUAAUUUUUGAAAAAGUGAUUUUAGUUUGGAAAAAUAAUUUUGGUUAAAAACUAUAGAGCAUUUGACAGAGUUUAGAUAAAAGUGAUUUUUCUAAAGUGAUUUUGAAAAACUAAAAUUUAAAUCUUAAAUAUUCAAAAUUAAAAUUUAAAAUUUGAAAUCUAUUUUUUAAAAUUUAAAAGUUAAAAUUUAAAAAUUCAAAAAUAAAUCAUUUAAAUUUAAAUUUAAAUAUUAAAUUUAAAUUUAAAUAUUGAAAUUAAAAUAAAAAUAAAAAAUUGAAGUUUAAAUUCAAAAUCAGAAUCAGAUUUCAAAAAGUAACUUUUUUCUGCUUCUGAUUUUGGGCAUUCAAAAUCAGUUUUCUGAUUCUAAAAAACAUAAUCAGAUUUUAAAAGGAAGUUCCCAAACGUUCUAUUGAGCCGAAAAUUAUUUUUCAGCCCGAAAGCGUUUUUUAAAAGUU
Molecule: long non-coding RNA, 514 nt
Filed under: Ananas comosus (pineapple)
Lineage: Eukaryota; Viridiplantae; Streptophyta; Magnoliopsida; Poales; Bromeliaceae
Description: long non-coding RNA (ACOM_LNC009691)
Source: RNAcentral